GUUGUGGCUCAGUGGCAGAGCAUCUGCCUGGCAUGCAGAAAGUCCCAGGUUCAAUCCAUAGCAUAUCUC
Molecule: transfer RNA, 69 nt
Filed under: Sphaerodactylus townsendi
Lineage: Eukaryota; Metazoa; Chordata; Lepidosauria; Squamata; Sphaerodactylidae
Description: tRNA-Ala
Rfam family: tRNA (bases 3-63)
About the family: Transfer RNA (tRNA) molecules are approximately 80 nucleotides in length.
Source: RNAcentral